UUCAGCAGUCAAGAAUAUUAGUCAAUGGCCUAACGGCUGAACCAGCAACUUUGGAGGAUGUAAGUCUAUGUAGGGUUCGCCUUACCUAGACGUUUCGACUACGUCGUAUAAAGUUCUAGAUAGAAUACUGAUAAUGACAAUUUUCUAUCUAUAUGUCUUGACCAAAUCUCGUGCCAGCAGUCGCGGCAAUACGAGGAAGACUAGUGUUAUUCAUCUUUAUUAGGUUUAAAGGGUACCUAGACGGCAUAUCAAGCCCCAAAAGGGAACAGAUAUACUAGAGUUUUAUGUGAGAGGAAUAUAUUAGUACUAUUGGUGUAGAGAUGAAAUUCUUUGAUACUAAUAGGACGGAUAACAGCAAAAGCAAACCUUUAUGUAAAAACUGACGUUGAGGGACGAAGGCUUGGGUCGCGAAUAGGAUUAGAUACCCUAGUAGUCCAGGCAGAGAAUUAUGAAUGUUAUAGACUUGCGUAUGCAAGUGUAUAAAUGAAAGUGUAAGCAUUCCACCUCAAGAGUAAUGUGGCAACGCAGGAACUGAAAUCAUUAGACCGUUUCUGAAACCAGUAGUGAAGUAUGUUAUUUAAUUCA
Molecule: ribosomal RNA, 585 nt
Filed under: Aureobasidium sp. BJ-2021j
Lineage: Eukaryota; Fungi; Ascomycota; Dothideomycetes; Dothideales; Saccotheciaceae
Description: SSU rRNA
Rfam family: Bacterial small subunit ribosomal RNA
Source: RNAcentral